AGCUUUGUUAGUAUAGCGGUUAGUAUGCCUGCCUGUCACGCAGGAGUCCGGGGUUCGAUUCCCCGACAAAGC
This 72-nucleotide transfer RNA is filed under the name Guillardia theta. RNAcentral describes it as "tRNA-Asp". It matches the Rfam family "tRNA". Rfam says of the family: Transfer RNA (tRNA) molecules are approximately 80 nucleotides in length. Their secondary structure includes four short double-helical elements and three loops (D, anti-codon, and T loops). The record is from RNAcentral. Lineage: Eukaryota; Cryptophyceae; Pyrenomonadales; Geminigeraceae.